GUCUCUCUCUCUCUCUCUCUCUGUCCUUGCCUCUCCUUGUGCCGUCUCCCUUCGUAGGACACGGGCAGGUGUGUUAGGUGUGCAUCCCCACAGGCUAGGUCUUGUGAGCUAUGAACAAGUAGGGGACCGAAAUGAUGCAGGGCAGCGGGUGCUAGAGUGGAGCGGUGACUGUGGGUGUUGACUGAGUCUCUGCUCUAGUGGGGCUGAUGUGGAUGGGAUGGGAGAGAGAGACAGGGAUGAGAGCAAGAUUUCACGCAUCAAUUGUAUUUUGUGUAGCGAUGGCUCUUGCUUGGCUUAUUUGAUGCACUUGCAGAGAAAUCAUCGGGGAGCAGCAGCAGGAGGAGAAACUAGCAGACGCGGACCUGGGCAGCCUGGACAUCCUUCUAAGCACAGAUUAACAGUCCUCAGCUUUCUGCCUUCCACGUAACUGGCUGACCAAGAGAAAAGAAGUGGAGGGUCAGCGUCGGCUCACCUCAUGUUAUGGAAAGCGAGUGAGAGCGACGAGAUUGCAAGCAUUUUGGAUGCCAGGCAACAGCCGUCCAGCUGGGAGCGGAGCAGCCGCCAUUGUCAAUGAGAUAAGUAUCUGUUUUGGUGAUUGCUCUGCUCACUGCCCACCUGAAUCCAGAUACAAAUGCCCCAUUAGCUGGGGCUGGAUUUGUUACAAAAUAUUCCUGACUAGGUGUGGUUCUGAAGGAGACAAGGUCCCCAUUUUCAGGGGCUGCUCAUUUCUUUGUUCACCAGCGCUGUGUCCUCUGCAGAAAAAGUUGGAUCCAGGAGGUUGAUUCCAGGUGGCGAGUUGCUUGCCUUCCUCCUAUGUUUUUUUUCUCUCUCUCUCUUCUCCAGUACGUUGGCCAACACUCACCCUUUCUCUUUCUGUCCUUGCUUUUCCUUGUGCUGUCUCCCUUCGUACGACACGAGCACGUGUGAUCGGUGUGCACCCCCACAGGGUAGGUCUCGGGAGCCAUGAUGAAGUAGGAGGGGACAAAAAUUAUGCAAGGUAGCGGGCGUGGGAGUUGAGGGGUGACUGUCAGUGUUAACUUGGUCUCUGUUCAUCAAGUGGGGCAGAUGUAGAUGGGCUGGAAGAGGGAGGCAGGGAUGAGGGCAAGAUUUCAAGCAUCAAUAGAGAUGUGUGUAGUGAUGGCUCAUGCUUGGCUUUUGCAAAUACAUUUCCAGAGGAAUUUCCCAGGAGCCGUAGCCGGAGGAGAAGUUGGCAGAUGUGGACAUGAGGAAACUGAACAUCCUUCUGAGCAGACACGAACAGUCCUCGGCUUUCUGCUUCCCACAUAACUGGCUUACCAAGGAAAAAAGUCACACGUCAGAGUCUACUGCCCUCAUGCGAUGGAAAUUUGCAGAGGAAUCAUCCAGGAGCCCUCGCCUGACGAGAAUAUGCAGAAGUGGCCGUGAGCAGCCUUGACAUCCUUCUAAGGAGACCUCAACAGUCCUCAGGUUUCUGCCUUCUGCCUAACUGGCUUAGCAAGAGAAAAGAAGUCACAGGCCAGAGUCUACUACCCUCGUGCAAUGGAAUGAGAGCGAGAGCGAUGAGUCUGCAAGCGUUGUUGAUGCGACGCAGAAGGCGUCCAUCUGGGAGCGGAACCGCCACCACUCUCAAUGAGAUAAGUGUCUUCUUUGGUGAUCGCUCUGCUCAAGGCCCAUCUUGCUCCCGGUAGGGAUGCCCCAUUAGCUGGGGCUGGGUUUGUAAGAAAAGGUUCCUGAUUAGUUGCGGUUACAAGGGAGACGAUGUCCCCAUUUUCAGGGGCUGCUCAUGUCUCUGGCCAGGACCAGUGUGUCCUCCGCGGCAUAUUAGAU
Molecule: long non-coding RNA, 1806 nt
Organism: Mauremys reevesii (Reeves's turtle)
Lineage: Eukaryota; Metazoa; Chordata; Testudines; Geoemydidae
Exons: 5
Source: RefSeq, a predicted model, not a curated record